This 225-nucleotide long non-coding RNA is filed under the name Mytilus galloprovincialis (Mediterranean mussel). Lineage: Eukaryota; Metazoa; Mollusca; Bivalvia; Mytilida; Mytilidae. The record is from RNAcentral.
AAGAUAUAGGAAGGUUUUGAACAUUGAGCACUUUGUGGUCCUAUACUAUUGUCAUUGUUAUUGUAUUGCUGCUGUGGUAUUUUUAAUGAUAUUAUAUUCCAGAUGUAUUUGUCAAUCCAUUGGAAGAGAAACAACAAAAAGUAGAAUAACAGAAGAAAUGAACCAUAACAGAACGAAACGGAAUGAAACACACACAAAUUAAAUGGUAGAACAAAAAAACACAAC